AUGGAGCUGACGAAUCUCGAAUAGGACGAAACGCGCGUCCUGGAU
Molecule: non-coding RNA, 45 nt
Filed under: Schistosoma margrebowiei
Lineage: Eukaryota; Metazoa; Platyhelminthes; Trematoda; Strigeidida; Schistosomatidae
Source: RNAcentral